RNAcentral lists this ribosomal RNA (467 nucleotides) under uncultured bacterium. Its description in RNAcentral is "partial 16S ribosomal RNA". It matches the Rfam family "Bacterial small subunit ribosomal RNA", at positions 28 to 523 of the family's 1533-position model. The record is from RNAcentral.
GACGAACGCUGGCGGCGUGCUUAACACAUGCAAGUCGAGCGGGAAACUUCGGUUUCCAGCGGCGGACGGGUGAGUAACACGUGGGCAACCUGCCUCACAAUGAGGGAUAGCCUUCCGAAAGGAAGAUUAAUACCUCAUAACACAAGAGAAACGCAUGUUUCUUUUGCCAAAGAAUUUCGUUGUGAGAUGGGCCCGCGGCGCAUUAGCUUGUUGGUGAGGUAACGGCUCACCAAGGCUUCGAUGCGUAGCCGACCUGAGAGGGUGAUCGGCCACAUUGGAACUGAGACACGGUCCAGACUCCUACGGGAGGCAGCAGUGGGGAAUAUUGCACAAUGGAGGAAACUCUGAUGCAGCAACGCCGCGUGAGUGAUGAAGGUCUUCGGAUUGUAAAGCUCUGUCUUCUGGGACGAUAAUGACGGUACCAGAGGAGGAAGCCAUGGCUAACUACGUGCCAGCAGCCGCCGCCG